AAAUCCUACUAUAUAAAAGAAGCUAUUUUUGGAGCUUCUAAGGGAUGACACAUGGGUAGAAAUAUUCUCCACCACUCAAUCUGCCAUGUCAUUGUGAACUGGACUUCAGCCUAAUAAAUUGGAAAAAGAGGUUUGCCAUAACAAUCACGGCCUAGCCCAAUAUCUAUAAAGGAGAAGGAUUCUAUUCUCAUGCUGCCACGUCUUCAAGAAACAAAGAGCAAAUGAUGGCAGGUGUCCCUUUUUACUGAACUUUUCUCGGCAAAAAAUCAAUAUAACAAAUGGGCUCAAUAAAAACACUGCUAAUGAACAUAUGUAACAAUAAUCUCAGCCCAUUUAUUACCCAUUUUUUUAAUGUCUGUCUUCUCGAUUCCCUUUUCUUCUCCGCCGACGGAAUGUUUCUAAACUUUCCCACAACCCACCUUCCUCCACUAAUGUAAACCAUUAGUGCCCUAUUCAAUACUGAAACCAUGACCUCACGACCUCCUCUUCAGCUUCUCAUCUCUCUCUACAUAUACCUGAUGGCUGCUUUCAAAAUUGUAGUAUUCUCCGAGGAGAUAUUUGAGUGUCAUUAUGUCAAACUCAACACUUAUCACGAGAUCGACGAGACUCCCGGAACCACAAGGAGGAAGAAGAAAGGCAAACAAAUCCUCGGAUCAAGACGGAAGGAGGAGAAGUAUAUUAUGGCAGAGGAAGGCAUGUAUAUCCGUACGACCGAGCAUGGAUUGUGGUUUACUUCGCUUCUACAGGCGGUGACAAAGAAAGGAGCGAGCGAGAAGUGUGAGACUAUAACGGAGCGGUGUUCGGAGGUUAUGGAGGAUGUGAUGAGCUGGAGCGGAACUCAACUGUAUUGUUGUGGAGAUGAACAGGUUGGAUCUAAAGCUUUAUUAUGAGCAUAUCACAUGGAGCUCGGAUAAAGGUACUCUUUAUGACAGAAAAUCACCAUGAUUCCGCUGAUGUUUAAGGUUUCUAUGUGAAGCUCAAUAUUUCCAAAAUAUGGAGCAAUUUGGUUACUCGCUACAGUCUGCAAUGUGGUCCAUAUGAUGAAAGGAAAUUGAAUUUGGAGCUUGAAGUUUUAAUGAUAAGUGUCUGCAUUGAGCUUGAUUUUGAGGACCAGUUAGACACUGACACACUUAUAUGCAAGGUCUUCAUCAAGAAAUCAGUGAGAGAAGAAUCACUAACCACUUACGCGCAAGGUCUUCAUCAAGAAAUCAGUGAGAGAAGAAUCACAAAGGAGGACAAGGAAUCAGAGUUUGGCAGUUUGUGCAUAUGUAAUAUUUUAUCUAUGAUGAUAACAUUUACUUGGGAUAAUAUUUUAUGUAUGAGUAUAAACUAAUAUGUAAUGUUUGAUGUCUUAACUAUAUUCUCUACACUUCAAUCAUAUGGUAAGAUUGGCAGAUUAUGAAUGACAUACCAAAAGUUA
Long non-coding RNA from Brassica napus (rape), 1420 nucleotides. RefSeq lists it as uncharacterized. The record is from RefSeq and is a predicted model, not a curated record. Lineage: Eukaryota; Viridiplantae; Streptophyta; Magnoliopsida; Brassicales; Brassicaceae. The transcript is spliced from 3 exons.